RNAcentral lists this ribosomal RNA (645 nucleotides) under uncultured Actinomycetes bacterium. Its description in RNAcentral is "bacterial SSU rRNA". It matches the Rfam family "Bacterial small subunit ribosomal RNA", at positions 232 to 886 of the family's 1533-position model. Lineage: Bacteria; Bacillati; Actinomycetota; Actinomycetes. The record is from RNAcentral.
CGCGGCCUAUCAGCUUGUUGGUGGGGUAAUGGCCCACCAAGGCGACGACGGGUAGCCGGCCUGAGAGGGCGACCGGCCACACUGGGACUGAGACACGGCCCAGACUCCUACGGGAGGCAGCAGUGGGGAAUAUUGCACAAUGGGCGAAAGCCUGAUGCAGCGACGCCGCGUGAGGGAUGACGGCCUUCGGGUUGUAAACCUCUUUCAGCAGGGAAGAAGCGAAAGUGACGGUACCUGCAGAAGAAGCGCCGGCUAACUACGUGCCAGCAGCCGCGGUAAUACGUAGGGCGCAAGCGUUGUCCGGAAUUAUUGGGCGUAAAGAGCUCGUAGGCGGCUUGUCACGUCGGAUGUGAAAGCCCGAGGCUUAACCUCGGGUCUGCAUUCGAUACGGGCUAGCUAGAGUGUGGUAGGGGAGAUCGGAAUUCCUGGUGUAGCGGUGAAAUGCGCAGAUAUCAGGAGGAACACCGGUGGCGAAGGCGGAUCUCUGGGCCAUUACUGACGCUGAGGAGCGAAAGCGUGGGGAGCGAACAGGAUUAGAUACCCUGGUAGUCCACGCCGUAAACGUUGGGAACUAGGUGUUGGCGACAUUCCACGUCGUCGGUGCCGCAGCUAACGCAUUAAGUUCCCCGCCUGGGGGAGUACGGG